AAUCGCAUUGCAUCGCAUCGCACUCGCACAGGCUAACAUUAGGAUUGGAUUGGAGUGCUGUCGUCGUGUCGUCUGCCGCUCAAUUGCAAAUGUGAAAUAAUUGAUUGAGGUUACUCAGGUUAUGUUUUUAUCUAUGUUGAGGAAUUUCAAUAAACUUAGUUUAUUUAGUUAUUCCCAAUUUUAAGUGAGUUUGAAAACGCUUUGCCCUAUUAGAGUCAAACUAUUAAUAGCUUAACUGAAUCAGCAAAAUAAAAAUAUCAAAUCAAUUGCGCAAACUAUGAUGUCUUUUAGAAAACCAAUUUAGGCCUUUUACUUAUGGUUUCUGAAGUUCAAAUAUAAAAAACCAAAUAUUAUUACUCCAGAAUUAUUAUUCUAGGUUCCAAUUAUUGUUUGGGGAGGAGGGGGAUUUAUUUACAUACAAUUCCCCCAUUGAUAAUUAUAUUAGGAUGUAGCCUAUUUAAGUUAAUACAAAUAAAAUUAAAAGUAUGCUGGUCAUUUAAAAGAAUGAAACUGACACAAUAAGUUAAGAUAGGUAAGUCAUAUAGUAUGUUGGAAACAGAGCAUAUUUUAAGGGAUUUCCACUGGGCAACAGAGGCGCCGGACUUACCGGGUGUUGAUGUGAUACCUGGGGUCGGAGGGUUCCCCCGGAAAUUUUUGCUUAGCUUAAAUUAAAGUGAAAAGAACACAUAUUUCUACGCAUCUUCUAAUGAAUUUUUCGAUUAUACUUAUUCGCUUGUAAAUAGUCCAUAUAAUCUCACUUAAUUAUGUACCGGAAUCCUAGAAUGUCAUAACAGGCCAAGGCUCCCUUCACAACCUCUUGGGCCAAAAUCAUAGCUCAAUAGCCUACUCUAAAAUAUUUACAUAUUUUUUUUUUUAUUCGUAUACAUUUCAAAUGUGAAUUAUUAAAAAAAAUAUGCUGGCACCACCCAUAGUCACUGGCCGACAAAAUCUCAGCACUGUGUCACCCAUUUAACAUGUUAUUUUAUAUGCCCUGUGUUGGAAUGUAAAAUAAAAUAAGGCCCUAAAUAAAAGCUUGCUUCAGCCUGAAACUUAGGUGUGUUGGUUAGGUAAAAUUUUAAAAUUUAACAAAUUUUACCUUCAAAUUAACUCAUAGAACACAUCUUUUUAACAGGCCCUCUGGUGAGUGGUGAAAAAACAGUAACACUUUACUCUUUGCAUGCAUCUUUACUAAUCAAAUUCAUUCAAUACUUACCUACUAGAAAUAAUUAUUUUAAUAAGUCUGGUUAAGUUAGUUAUUUUUUUCUGUAUACAAAUGUUACAGCUUUAUUUGUUUUAAUCUACUUAUGGAUUGUAGGCUACUGUAACUUAAAAUUGACUAAAAUACAGCCACAAUUUUAACUAGAAAUGUUGGCAUUCAUUCUUAUAAUCCCACCAAGAUGCCUUAACCUAUUAAGGAUAACUUAGACUAUCUGGGUGAGGUUUUAAUUACCUUAAUUACCACUGUGUUGCCGAUGACAGAUGAUUUGGAUAGGGGUCCUCCAAACAAUUGACCUUUAAUGAACGACAAGAUAUCUUAUUGUAAUUAUGUUUAUCUUAAUUAUGUGAGUGUGAGUCAAUUAAGCAAAUUUGGUUAGAUAUUGUAUUGAAUUUGGAUGCAAAGAAACGUAGCCUACAAUAAAGGAAAUGGGAUCCACUUUUACAAAUUUCUAUUAACUCGCCCAAAGCUGUUGAAAUCCUGGGAAAAGGCUGUCAAAAGAAAAAAAUCUGAAAGAAACUGUUUAGUAUUGAUUCUUUGCAGUAAACAUUUAUCUGAUGAUGAAGUUUAAGUUAGAUAAGACUUGGAGCACUUGUCAAGCUCCUUAAAGAUGACGCUGAACUCACCGAUUAUGUAGGUACAGCAGUUCAGAAAAAAAAAAACACCGCCGUGGACAACUUUUCUAUGGAUAGCCUGAUAUUGUUGAGACUCCAAUUGAACCCAUGGAGAUUAAGACUCCAAGACAAAGCACAGGGAAAAUCAAACGGAAAUCAACCAAAUCCACCACAGCAAACACACUCAAAUUGAUAGUUCAGUUUCUCCAAUGAAAAAACUCCAAAUGUAAUGACCUAAGACUUGGACAAAAGAAGAAUCACUUUGUUUUUGUGAAAUGUUUAAAUACACUGUAU
This is a long non-coding RNA of Macrosteles quadrilineatus (aster leafhopper), 2124 nucleotides long. RefSeq lists it as uncharacterized. Lineage: Eukaryota; Metazoa; Arthropoda; Insecta; Hemiptera; Cicadellidae. The record is from RefSeq and is a predicted model, not a curated record. The transcript is spliced from 3 exons.